Molecule: ribosomal RNA, 476 nt
Filed under: uncultured bacterium
Lineage: Bacteria
Description: bacterial SSU rRNA
Rfam family: Bacterial small subunit ribosomal RNA
Source: RNAcentral
AGGACGAACGCUGGCGGCGUGCCUAACACAUGCAAGUCGAGCGAGGAGAUUCCUUCGGGAUGAUCCUAGCGGCGGACGGGUGAGUAACACGUGGGCAACCUGCCUCAUAGAGAGGAAUAGCCUUCCGAAAGGGAGAUUAAUACCUCAUAACAUUGCAGUUUCGCAUGGAACAGCAAUUAAAGGAGUAAUCCGCUAUGAGAUGGGCCCGCGGCGCAUUAGCUAGUUGGUGAGGUAACGGCUCACCAAGGCGACGAUGCGUAGCCGACCUGAGAGGGUGAUCGGCCACAUUGGGACUGAGACACGGCCCAGACUCCUACGGGAGGCAGCAGUGGGGAAUACUGCACAAUGGGGGAAACCCUGAUGCCAGCAACGCCGCGUGAGUGAUGACGGCCUUCGGGUUGUAAAGCUCUGUCUUCAGGGACGAUAAUGACGGUACCUGAGGAGGAAGCCACGGCUAACUACGUGCCAGCCGCCGC